UACGUAGGGACCAAGCGUUGUUCGGAUUCACUGGGCGUAAAGGGUGCGUAGGCGGUCGGGUAAGUCUGACGUGAAAUCUUCAAGCUCAACUUGGAAACUGCGUCGGAUACUAUUCGGCUAGAGGAAUGGAGGGGAGACUGGAAUACUUGGUGUAGCAGUGAAAUGCGUAGAUAUCAAGUGGAACACCAGUGGCGAAGGCGAGUCUCUGGACAUUUCCUGACGCUGAGGCACGAAAGCCAGGGGAGCAAACGGG
Molecule: ribosomal RNA, 253 nt
Filed under: uncultured bacterium
Lineage: Bacteria
Description: partial 16S ribosomal RNA
Rfam family: Bacterial small subunit ribosomal RNA
Source: RNAcentral